RNAcentral lists this ribosomal RNA (305 nucleotides) under uncultured bacterium. RNAcentral describes it as "bacterial SSU rRNA". It matches the Rfam family "Bacterial small subunit ribosomal RNA", at positions 338 to 641 of the family's 1533-position model. The record is from RNAcentral.
CCUACGGGGGGCAGCAGUGAGGAAUAUUGGUCAAUGGGCGCGAGCCUGAACCAGCCAAGUCGCGUGAGGGAAGACGGUCCUAUGGAUUGUAAACCUCUUUUGUCGGGGAGCAAAAGACGCCACGCGUGGCGUUCCGAGAGUACCCGAAGAAAAAGCAUCGGCUAACUCCGUGCCAGCAGCCGCGGUAAUACGGAGGAUGCGAGCGUUAUCCGGAUUUAUUGGGUUUAAAGGGUGCGUAGGCGGACUGUCAAGUCAGCGGUAAAAUACGGGGGCUCAACCUCCGCCCGCCGUUGAAACUGACGGUC